Molecule: ribosomal RNA, 366 nt
Filed under: Euryarchaeota archaeon UBA209
Lineage: Archaea; Methanobacteriati; Thermoplasmatota; Candidatus Poseidoniia; Candidatus Poseidoniales
Description: bacterial LSU rRNA
Rfam family: Archaeal large subunit ribosomal RNA
Source: RNAcentral
CUGGUGCAGCAGCUGGGAAGGGUGGGGUUGUUCGCCCAUUAAAGGGGAUCGUGAGAUGGGUUUAGACCGUCGUGAGACAGGUUUGUUGCUUUGUGGUUGAGGCGUAUAAGAUGCCUGAUCGGAAGGGCCCUUUAGUACGAGAGGAACGAGGGCUCGGGGCCACUAGUUUACCAGUUGUCCGGCAGGGCAAUGCUGGGUAGCCACGCCCUACGUGGAUAAGAGCUGAAAGCAUCUAAGCUCGAAGUCAUCCGAAAGACGAGGCAUCUCAGGGGACUCGUAGAAGACGAGUUUGAUAGACAGCGGGUGUAAGCACCGAGGUUCGCCGAGGUGUUCAGCCCAGCUGCACUAACCCCCCGAGCAUCUACA